GGAUAUAUAGCUCAGUGGUAGAGCACAUGCUUAGCAUGCAUGAGGUCCUGGGCUCAAUCCCCAAUACCUCCC
This 72-nucleotide transfer RNA is filed under the name Camelus bactrianus (Bactrian camel). It matches the Rfam family "tRNA". Rfam says of the family: Transfer RNA (tRNA) molecules are approximately 80 nucleotides in length. Their secondary structure includes four short double-helical elements and three loops (D, anti-codon, and T loops). Lineage: Eukaryota; Metazoa; Chordata; Mammalia; Artiodactyla; Camelidae. RNAcentral also lists the same sequence under 2 other names. The record is from Rfam by way of RNAcentral.